Molecule: ribosomal RNA, 253 nt
Filed under: uncultured bacterium
Lineage: Bacteria
Description: partial 16S ribosomal RNA
Rfam family: Bacterial small subunit ribosomal RNA
Source: RNAcentral
UACAGAGGGUGCGAGCGUUAAUCGGAAUUACUGGGCGUAAAGCGCACGUAGUCGGCUUUGCAAGUCGGGUGUGAAAUCCCCGGGCUCAACCUGGGAACUGCAUCCGAGACUGCAUUGCUAGAGUAUGGGAGAGGGAAGCGGAAUUUCUGGUGUAGCAGUGAAAUACGUAGAUAUCAGAAGGAACAUCAGUGGCGAAGGCGGCUUCCUGGACCAAUACUGACGAUCAGGUGCGAAAGCGUGGGGAGCAAACAGG